GCAUACCUGGCUCCCUGUAUGCCACACUAGAGACCGAUCUGUGUAUCAGAUUGCCUCCUGGGUGGCGUACCGGGAGCCAAGUAUGC
Molecule: microRNA precursor, 86 nt
Filed under: Daucus carota subsp. sativus
Lineage: Eukaryota; Viridiplantae; Streptophyta; Magnoliopsida; Apiales; Apiaceae
Description: pre miRNA mir-160
Rfam family: mir-160 microRNA precursor family
About the family: The hairpin precursors (represented here) are predicted based on base pairing and cross-species conservation -- their extents are not known.
Source: Rfam by way of RNAcentral